GAUGAACGCUGGCGGCGUGCCUAAUACAUGCAAGUCGAGCGAACAGACGAGGAGCUUGCUCCUCUGACGUUAGCGGCGGACGGGUGAGUAACACGUGGAUAACCUACCUAUAAGACUGGGAUAACUUCGGGAAACCGGGGCUAAUACCGGAUAAUAUAUUGAACCGCAUGGUUCAAUAGUGAAAGACGGUUUUGCUGUCACUUAUAGAUGGAUCCGCGCCGCAUUAGCUAGUUGGUAAGGUAACGGCUUACCAAGGCAACGAUGCGUAGCCGACCUGAGAGGGUGAUCGGCCACACUGGAACUGAGACACGGUCCAGACUCCUACGGGAGGCAGCAGUAGGGAAUCUUCCGCAAUGGGCGAAAGCUUGACGGAGCAACGCCGCGUGAGUGAUGAAGGUCUUCGGAUCGUAAAACUCUGUUAUUAGGGAAGAACAAAUGUGUAAGUAACUAUGCACGUCUUGACGGUACCUAAUCAGAAAGCCACGGCUAACUACGU
RNAcentral lists this ribosomal RNA (496 nucleotides) under uncultured bacterium. RNAcentral describes it as "partial 16S ribosomal RNA". It matches the Rfam family "Bacterial small subunit ribosomal RNA", at positions 28 to 506 of the family's 1533-position model. The record is from RNAcentral.